UAUGAAGCAAAACAACCCAGUUCAACAUCUAUGCCUCCAGUAAUGUCAUCAUACUACUGAGCGUGGUGUGCCCAGUUUCCUCCAAAAUCCCAGACUAGAUUGUACGGCUCCUCUUCUUCUAUCUAAUUUGGGUUCUACUAAAAAAUGAAAGGGGCACUAUAGUGUUAGGAACACAAACAUGUAUUCCUGAUACUGUAGUUCUAAAACCAUCGUUUAGCCAGUCAGCUCCCCUUACCUUGGG
Non-coding RNA from Pelobates cultripes (western spadefoot toad), 241 nucleotides. NCBI's taxonomy places the organism in Eukaryota, Metazoa, Chordata, Amphibia, Anura, Pelobatidae. The record is from the annotation of a GenBank genome assembly.